RNAcentral lists this ribosomal RNA (422 nucleotides) under uncultured bacterium. Its description in RNAcentral is "bacterial SSU rRNA". It matches the Rfam family "Bacterial small subunit ribosomal RNA", at positions 355 to 774 of the family's 1533-position model. The record is from RNAcentral.
UGAGGAAUAUUGGACAAUGGGUGGAAGCCUGAUCCAGCCAUCCCGCGUGAAGGAUGACGGUCCUAUGGAUUGUAAACUUCUUUUGUACAGGGAUAAACCUGCCCUCGUGAGGGCAGCUGAAGGUACUGUACGAAUAAGCACCGGCUAACUCCGUGCCAGCAGCCGCGGUAAUACGGAGGGUGCGAGCGUUAUCCGGAUUUAUUGGGUUUAAAGGGUCCGUAGGCGGGCCUGUAAGUCAGUGGUGAAAUCUCAUAGCUUAACUAUGAAACUGCCAUUGAUACUGCAGGCCUUGAGUAAAUUUGAAGUCGCUGGAAUAAGUAGUGUAGCGGUGAAAUGCAUAGAUAUUACUUAGAACACCGAUUGCGAAGGCAGGUCACUAAGAUUUAACUGACGCUGAUGGACGAAAGCGUGGGGAGCGAACA